GAUGAAGAACGUAGCGAAAUGCGAAAAGUAAUGUGAAUUGCAGAAUUCAGUGAAUCAUCGAAUCUUUGAACGCACAUUGCGCCCGCCAGUAUUCUGGCGGGCAUGCCUGUCUGAGCGUCAUUUCAACCCUCACGCCCCUAGGGCGUGGUGUUGGGGAUCGGCCAAGGCCCGCAAGGGACGGCCGGCCCCUAAAUCUAGUGGCGGACCCAUCGUGGCCUCCCCUGCGAAGUAGUAAUAUAUUCCGCAUCGGAUAGCGAUGAGCCCCUGCCGUUAAACCCCCAACUCUUUCAAGGUUGACCUCAGAUCAGGUAGGAAUACCCGCUGAACUUAAGCAUAUCAAUAAGCGGAGG
Molecule: unclassified non-coding RNA, 350 nt
Filed under: soil metagenome
Description: partial contains 5.8S ribosomal RNA, internal transcribed spacer 2, and large subunit ribosomal RNA
Rfam family: 5.8S ribosomal RNA (bases 1-120)
Source: RNAcentral